GGGGCUGUAGUGUAGUUUGGAAACACCCCUCCUAACACGGGGCCGCCCGACCGGAGUUCGAAUCUUCGCAGCCCCA
RNAcentral lists this transfer RNA (76 nucleotides) under Candidatus Woesearchaeota archaeon. Its description in RNAcentral is "tRNA-Val". Lineage: Archaea; Nanobdellati; Candidatus Woesearchaeota. The record is from RNAcentral.